GGGGAAUAUUGCACAAUGGGCGCAAGCCUGAUGCAGCCAUGCCGCGUGUAUGAAGAAGGCCUUCGGGUUGUAAAGUACUUUCAGCGAGGAGGAAGGUGUUGAGGUUAAUAACCUUAGCAAUUGACGUUACUCGCAGAGGAAGCACCGGCUAACUCCGUGCCAGCAGCCGCGGUAAUACGGAGGGUGCAAGCGUUAAUCGGAAUUACUGGGCGUAAAGCGCACGCAGGCGGUUUGUUAAGUCAGAUGUGAAAUCCCCGGGCUCAACCUGGGAACUGCAUUUGAAACUGGCAAGCUUGAGUCUCGUAGAGGGGGGUAGAAUUCCAGGUGUAGCGGUGAAAUGCGUAGAGAUCUGGAGGAAUACCGGUGGCGAAGGCGGCCCCCUGGACGAAGACUGACGCUGAGGCAUGAAAGCGUGGGGAGCAAAC
Molecule: ribosomal RNA, 425 nt
Filed under: uncultured bacterium
Lineage: Bacteria
Description: bacterial SSU rRNA
Rfam family: Bacterial small subunit ribosomal RNA
Source: RNAcentral